This 494-nucleotide ribosomal RNA is filed under the name uncultured bacterium. Its description in RNAcentral is "partial 16S ribosomal RNA". It matches the Rfam family "Bacterial small subunit ribosomal RNA", at positions 28 to 507 of the family's 1533-position model. The record is from RNAcentral.
GACGAACGCUGGCGGCGUGCUUAACACAUGCAAGUCGAACGGAAAGGCCUGCUUUCCCUUGUGGAUUGCGGGUACUCGAGUGGCGAACGGGUGAGUAACACGUGAGUGAUCUGCCCCCAACUUGGGUAUAAGCCUGGGAAACUGGGUCUAAUUCCCGAUAGGACUGCAGGGUGGUGGCUGUGGUGGAAAACGAUUUUCUAGUGGUUGGGGAUGAGCUCGCGGCCUAUCAGCUUGUUGGUGGGGUAAUGGCCUACCAAGGCGGGGAGGGGUAGCGGGCGUGAGAGGGGGGACGGUCGCACUGGGACUGGGACCAGGCCCAGACGCCAACGGGAGGUAGGAGUUGGGGAUAAUGGAGAAUGGGCGGGAGCCAGACGCAGCGACGCCGCGUGGGGGAUGACGGCCUUCGGGUUGUAAACUCCUUUCGACCGCGAGGAAGCCACCUGGUUGGAAGGGUGGUGACGGUAGUGGUAGAAGAAGCACCGGCUAACUACGUG